UAAUUUAUAAUGAGAAUAAUUGGAUAAAGCUUUGAAUGAGAAAGGUUAACUGUUGCUGUCCUUACUCUUGUAAAACUCCCUCAAGGUCAAUAAACACCCUGGCAGGCCUCCUCUACUCACUGUCCUUUUAGAAACUCUACAUCUUUCCCUUUCCACUGCCUUGACAGUCUGGCUGACCCAACAUAACAAAACCACUGCUUCACUGUAGGAUGCCGAUUACAUCCAUUAAUUCAUAUUAAGGUGCUGGUGACUGAUAGUGGUUGGAUGUAUCAUCCUUCCCAGAUGUUUUUGCAUUAAAAAAAAUACAAUUGAUCCAUGCCUGUUGAUAAAAAUGGCAAAUCCAGAUAAGC
Molecule: long non-coding RNA, 350 nt
Filed under: Bos taurus (domestic cattle)
Lineage: Eukaryota; Metazoa; Chordata; Mammalia; Artiodactyla; Bovidae
Description: long non-coding RNA NONBTAT004251
Source: RNAcentral